Molecule: long non-coding RNA, 6397 nt
Filed under: Gallus gallus (chicken)
Lineage: Eukaryota; Metazoa; Chordata; Aves; Galliformes; Phasianidae
Description: lncRNA (ENSGALG00010003536.1)
Source: RNAcentral
CAGCUAGUCGUGCCAAAAAGGCCUGUGAUACAUCAAAAUGCACAACUCCCUUGGUUCCUCUUUGAACCCUGGCCAGUUUUGGGGGGGGAAACCAACAGGAGAAAGAGAAAACCUGAUGUUCUACUUGACUGUCGCAUAGAUUUGUUUAUUCAGUGGACUUUAGAGACCUCAACUACAAAGUGGAUGCACUGCUGUAGGGCUUCCCAAUUGCCAAGACAGGUUCUCCAAAUCCUCGCUGCAACUGGGGCACCACAACGACUGUGGAUCUGGAUGACGAAAGAAAGUGGUCACAUUUAUUGAAGUUGAGAAUCACAGUAUUACUUCUGACUGAAUAAAAAGGAUCAAAGCAGGCUUUGUACUAUAACUAUCAUGUUUUAUGGCAGAAAAAAAUGAAGCUAAAAUAUUUUUCCCAGUAUUGAAGGCUCUCUGACCUGCCUGAAAGCCAGGUAAGACUCCUAAAGGUAGUUGCCAAAAUUAGCUUCUCUUCAUUAAAUAUUUCCUUUUUGUUGGAGUGGCUAAUCCUAACUUCUCCAGGAGCAUGCUCAUAAUUGUGUCUAAUCAUUCUUAACAGCUUUUCACAAAAGAGUAAAGUGCUUUUCACAUAAGAGUAAUGAGUAAAAAAGAGUUACUAAUACAGCUCUUUUUUUCCUUUUUCAUUAACUUGAUCUCUCAGUGUAUUAUUGUAACUGAACUAAUUACUAACCUUUGCUGUAUUUUAUCAUAAAGUUAAGCUUGAAGUAGACUGUUCCCCAUUCAUUUUGUUUUAAGUCUUCUUAUAGAUAUUUCAGUUUCAAACAGAUCUUCUUCUUCCAACAGAGGAUGAGUCUGCUACAAGAAGCUGCUGAAAUGAUGCAAAGAAUUAAGUUCAUUUAUCUUAACACUGCUUUUAUGAUUCAAUACAGAUUCUGUAGCAGUUUUCCUGUUCCAAACAUGUCUGAGAACAGAUUUAUUAAUAAUUUUGACUCCAUUUGCUAUCUGAUCCUCAAACUGCCGUUUGGUCUGCCUUAUUACUUUUGCUUUUUUUAUCUUCUGAAAUUUGUAAUUCUCUCCCCUGUCUGCAUUCAGACACUGAAUCAGUUUUUCAGAGAAAAUCUUCCUUCUAACAAUGGCUUGUUGUUUAGCUGCAUUAGUUGUGUUUCACCUUUUCCCUUGUCUUUCACACUUGGUCAUAUACCCUGUAAGUAUUUGGUGUUUAAAUGGUGAAGAUUUUUCAAAGAAUUUCCUGUAAUCUGUUAGACUGUGAUUCAGUAAUACAGGUGCACAAAUUUGUACAGUACAAGAUUGGUCCUAUUUACUUCACUAGAAGCACUUACAUUUAAUUCUAAGUCGAAACUAAGCCUGGCUUCUCAUUCUCUGCCUAUAGAGAAAUACCUGUCAUUUCAUUUAAGUGUUCAUUUAAAUGGUAAAUAUCCCAAAGUAUGACGAAUCCAGUAAAUUAUCUACAGGUAAUUGUUAGAAAAGCUUUUGUUUUCUGUUGUAUAAUUAAAAUAAAAAAUGGCUGCAUGACAUCUCUUACUGUCAUUCAGGAAGGAUAAUAAAAUGAGGUAGAAAUGCAUAAAGAUUAUUUGAUGACCCUUCAUAGCUGUUUUCUAAGAUCUCUUUCUCUAUUCUGCUAACACCGUGGAGACUUACUGACUUGUGCAGAUGUCAGUUGAAAUAUUACAGAUUAGAUUGGAUGCAUUCUUAGCAUGACUUUUUAGCACCUUUUAGUACCUUCAGCAUAUUUUAGCACCUUUUCUCACUGUUAAGAUAUGCAGCUACAAUUGAAACUCAGGUUAAAGAAAACUUUGCAUUAUUUUUUACUACUACUAAUAAAGCUAAUUUAUGGGGUCUGCUGCUGUCAACAAUCAUGUAUUGUAGAUUCAUUAUUAUACCAGAUCCUGCUUUUGAGAAAACAUUCCUUUCAAAUUAAUAUUCAGAAAUCCCCCAGUUCUCUUUUUCAAAUGAUGAUAUCUUGGUGUCACCUCUAAACAAUUCUUUAUAGAUUGAUGGAAAAUAACAAAAACAAUAAAAUAAGCUAUUCAGAAAGAAAGCUCUAUUUCACUAAAAUUUGUUUGUUGUAAAAGAAUCCAGGUAGACCUAGUAUGUCAGAGUUUGAAAACUGAUCAGUAAUGUGUUUCUUUACAACUAUUGUUGCCUCUGAAUUAAGUGACCUAAAAUAGAUUUACAAGCAAUUGCUGAGAUAACAAUAAACAGAUAUCAUAAAUAUAGUAGAAUUUUCAAUAUUUUUGAUUACACAGACUAAAUCUUCUUCCUGGUUGCUGGAUUACUAGCUAAAACUCUGUCUCUACUUUUUCUAUCUUGAAGCAGUUUACCAAUUGAAAACAUCUGACUGCAUUGCCUGACCUAUAAAAUCCAGGUCUGAAAAACAUUCUCUGAACUUCCUGUUUAAAUCUAUACUGUGAAGGUUUGACAACUUGAUGGACAUAUUUAAAUAGUACUAGUACAAUACAUACAUUUCACAGCUCUUUUUUUCAUCUGUUUCUCUUUCUUGGGCAAUUUCAUAUAAAUGCCAGUAUCAUUUCUACUCUCCAACUACCAAGAUGUAUGGUAGAUGAGAUAUCUUUGCCUGUAUAUUUUCUAAAAUGCAUUUUUAUGUAGAAGUGAUGGUUAAGAUUGCUUUCUGCAGUAAUUUUUAUGUAGUGCUAUACUCAAAUCAAACUAUUUCAAGUGUUCUGAAACUUUCUUUUCCAAUACAAAAAUAGAUUACUAGUUUGUAUUUUCUUUGAAUAUGCAAGGAUUUGUAUAUAAAUGCACAUGUAUAUAUAUAAGAAUGAAGAGCUUAUUUGCCAUCUUUAACAGAUUUAUUUCUUACAUUUAUUAAAAUAACAUUUGUUUCUCCUGUGUAGCAAAGUGGCUGGAUUGAGUGAAUUUAGGUUCAUUUAGGCUAAGGGAAAAACUGCAACUCUGAAUCUUAGGAGGAGACAAAUAAUUUAUUUUUCUAGUAUUCUUAGUAGAAGUACAAAUGGAGAAGAAAAAAAGCAGGAUAGGAGGAGCUCAUUUGUCUUUCUAAUUAAUAUCCAACUGCUCCUGUUAGAGCAACAGCUUCUCCUAUUUGAUUCUGAGUAGCUUUGGCUAAGAGGAUGCAAACUAAAACUAUGUCCUUGUUUGUUACCAGUAACCUUAAUUUAAAAUUAAAGAAGAUAAUGAAUCUAAAAUUUAUUUUCAGAAUUCUACUAUGCAGUUGGUGGAGUUGAUUCUACUCAUAAAAACAAAGUCAAUUUUUUUCAAACGCUCUCACCAACAUAGCUGCUCUCCAUUACUGCUGAGCUGUUGAUUAUUCACAUGAACUCUCUCUUUAGCAAGAUGCAUAUUUUCUUCCACAUUUUAUGAAGUUUGAAAUUACCAGUUAUUAACAUUUAUCAAUUAACUCAUCAAUCUACUAUUAUUAAAAUAACUAUUGCUACUGAAGAGAUUUUAUAACAUAAUGAACAAACAAGCACGGACUAUCCAAUCUUUCACAACAGCAUAUUCUUUAAAAAAGGACUCCAGUUUUUCUAGAGAUGGACUUUCCAACUAGAAUUUUUUGUAUAUUUCUCGUAGCUGAUUAAGUUUUUUGACUUCACAAUGUAUGUAAUGUGCGUAGUAACUGACCUGGGAAAUAUAUUACAGAACCAGGAAAUAAAACGCAUACCUUAAUUUUUCAGAUUAGUGGGCUCAGAAAUGCUAAAAAGUUCUAGGAAAGACUGCAAAUAGCAUUAUGAGAUGAAACCUACUUCAAUAGUUUGUCUCCUGUGAAGACCGGAAAAUAUCAUCUGCAGGAGCACAAAUAUUUCAGAAAUCUUACAGUUAUCUCAAUCUUUUCACCACAAUAGUGGUGUUGCUGUAGAAUUCAAGUUUGCAAGCAGACACUUCAAAAUUUUAUUAGAGUUUCUACUGUAUUCAGAAUUACCAAGAUUAGUGUUUUCUGGUAUAUAACAAGUGCUUUGGAAUUCUCUAAAGUGUAGAUCAAAUGUAAUAAUAAUUCUAUCAACCAUUAUAUCUUUAUGUAGUUUCUUUUUCACACAAUGAAAGCUCAUCAAAUACAUCACGAAGAACUAGUUAUAACUUAGAAAUGCUUCAUAUUGUGACAAAAUAUCACAGACAUAAAGAAAUAUCUAAAUACAUUUCACUGCAUAUUUUCUUGUGAAGUGGGACAAUUUGUCUCUGACAGGCUUCAGCUUUAUCAUGAGUAGUCAGGUGGGUUCACUAAAAGUAAGAUUCUUUCUUGUAGUACUACCAAGACUUGCUUCAGUGAGGGAGAACCUUGUUUGACUUUUUGUUCCUUAUGUUAUACUAAUUUGAAACUAUGCUCUAAUUACAGCAUUUUUCCCCCUUUCAAAUGUGAUCCCAGAUAAUAGUACCUCUGAAAGUUCUUGGCUCUCUGUCAAUUGAUUUGGCAGCUAGGUUUCUAAUAAAUCCAGAUGGAAAAAAUAAGAACUGUACUCCCCCUGAGUUUUUAAUAUGACAAUAUAAUUCUUUAAUCAGGUUAUUGAAGCAGUAAUUAAAUUUUAUUGCAAACAGUGUUAUAAUUGUGCUAUCUGAAUAGAGGAGAAUACUGAGUCUUUACAAUAUGCUUCAUGCAUAGCAUGUAUUCCCUUUAAUUUACACAUACUCACACAACUGCUCCCCACAGCUGAGGAAGCAGGUAAACUUUGUCUCACAUCUGACAUGCAAUUCUCAGAAUGUCAGUCACUUCUGAUUUUCAAGUGCUUGAAAGAAAAAAAAAAUGCAAAACAUUUGGAAUCUCCUCUCUUUGGACAUAGUCAAAAUCUGAGUGGACAGCUUUGAGCAACCUGCUUUAGUUAAUCCUGUCCUGAGCAAAUGUGAGAGACUAUUCUUUUAUAUGAUUGACUCAAAGUUUGCUGAGGAACAAGUCCAGGCAAGUCCUGGGCAAAGGUAGAGAAAUCUUUUGUCUGGAGGACACUGAUGGACAGGUCCUGGCUAAGGAUUGUGAAAUCCUCUAAGGAGCACAGAUGGACAAGGCCAGGGGCAACGAGAGAGAGAUAAGCUGCUGCUAAUGGCCGGGAAACGGUCUUUUGUGUGGAUUUAUCUCGAGGAAGAUGGCCAUCUCAGGAGGUAUGCACAUGACUCUUGCUCAAGCACCCAGGGAUGUCACGUAGGCAGGAGAAAAUGGAGGAUAAAGGAGGGUCCAACAACCACGGCAGAUGAGAGAGGCUGAUCUCUCACCACGACAGACCAGUGAAGGGUUUCUGCCAUCAGAUCCCUCACCACGACGGACUCGAGGUUUCUGCCUUCAGAUCCUUCUCUACGGACCGUAUGCUGACGGACUUCCCUGGGCCUGCUACCUGAGACUUACUCGGCGGCUUCUUCCUGGACCCACCCGGACCACCCUGGACCACCACUCAACUGUUACAUUGGGAUGGGAAAUUAUUAAUGAAAUCACUACUAAAUGACAAAAAUCAUCUUCCACAGCAAGUGGUUCAAGUCUCACCAACACGGAAAGGAGGCUUCUCCUGAUAUUGGGUGGGGCUGAAAAGAAAAGGUACUUAUCACCAGGAGAAGGUUCAAGAUCAACCAACUGCCUGAGCUGGUCUCCCUUUUUACCAGUUCUGUCUGGGGGAAUGCAUCAAAUCUCUCUGUCAGUUUCCAUGAAGGAGCAUCAGUGUUAGCCUCAGCUUAGGAACCUUCAUCACUGCAAGGAGCUAUCACUGCAAAUCUGGCAGAAAAAGACGCACAGAUAGGUGGGAGGAACGGAUCAAAGAGGAAGAAGCUGCUGCCAAUUUGGAAGGAUGGUAGUGUCCCUUAUAAGAGAAGUAUGUCAGUAUAGUGGGUGGUAGGCAGAGAGCAGUAGAGUUUCCUCUCAGAAAACUAGCUGGACUGAUGCAACUGGUAACUUUCCCAGUGCUCCACAUUUUAGAAUUCAGACACAGCUGCUGUGGGGAGAGCAUGCUGCUACUGUGAUAAAAUAGUCUGCACUUGCUGCUGUUCUUUGAAUAACAGAUCUCUGCUGAGCACAGAGGGGCAGUGGUAACUGAGGGUAAUCUGUAAUGAAAAGAUAACUGCCCUGUGUCCCCAGACUUCAGUAUAAAAAUGUUCUUAAUACGUCUUUCUUUGCCAAAUCAGAGGUGAUGUUUCCAUCAACCAACGUAGGAUAAUCUUCUGCAUCAGGCUUUUCAGAGAGGAAACUCUGAGAAAUCUGCAGUGUAAGUAAACAAAGUACGAAUUUUCUGCAAGCUUGCAAAGAUGUCUUCUUUUUCCAAAGCAAUAUCUUUCACUGGCAUUAGAACUGUGUUCUUUUCCAAAGCUGAUUUAAUCUGAACCUUUACCUUUCCAUUAUUCCCUUUCAUAUAUGCCCUUCUCAUUCCUUAUAUUGUUCUCAUUUCUUUUCAUAACAUUUAACUCUGACACUAAAGUCAUACUUGUUCCACGGAGAGGAUGGCCAUUUCUUCCUUUC